CUUUUACCUGAGUUAGCCCAUAAGAGCUGAGUGACUACCGUUCUCGCGUGCAUCAGUCCACGGUCUAUUCAGCUAAAUAUGCAUCGUGAUUGUAUCUUUGCUAAGCCUAUUAUACUUUUGUACUGACUUGUAUCACAGAUGGUAUCUUAGUUGAGUGAAUACCUAGAAUAAUACAUCUAUACCUAGACACAAGAAAAAUGAACAUUUGGA
Molecule: non-coding RNA, 210 nt
Organism: Pelobates cultripes (western spadefoot toad)
Lineage: Eukaryota; Metazoa; Chordata; Amphibia; Anura; Pelobatidae
Source: the annotation of a GenBank genome assembly